This 449-nucleotide ribosomal RNA is filed under the name uncultured bacterium. RNAcentral describes it as "partial 16S ribosomal RNA". It matches the Rfam family "Bacterial small subunit ribosomal RNA", at positions 29 to 523 of the family's 1533-position model. The record is from RNAcentral.
AACGAACGCUGGCGGCAUGCCUAACACAUGCAAGUCGAACGAGAUCUUCGGGUCUAGUGGCGCACGGGUGCGUAACGCGUGGGAAUCUGCCCUUUGGUUCGGAAUAACAGUUGGAAACGACUGCUAAUACCGGAUGAUGACGAAAGUCCAAAGAUUUAUCGCCAGAGGAUGAGCCCGCGUAGGAUUAGCUAGUUGGUGUGGUAAAGGCGCACCAAGGCGACGAUCCUUAGCUGGUCUGAGAGGAUGAUCAGCCACACUGGGACUGAGAAACGGCCGAGCGUCCUACGGGAGGCAGCAGUGGGGAAUAUUGGACAAUGGGCGAAAGCCUGAUCCAGCAAUGCCGCGUGAGGGAUGAAGGCCUUAGGGUUGUAAAGCUCUUUUACCCGGGAUGAUAAUGACAGUACCGGGAGAAUAAGCUCCGGCUAACUCCGUGCCAGCCGCCGCCGUAA